Molecule: ribosomal RNA, 489 nt
Filed under: uncultured bacterium
Lineage: Bacteria
Description: bacterial SSU rRNA
Rfam family: Bacterial small subunit ribosomal RNA
Source: RNAcentral
GAUGAACGCUAGCGGCAGGCUUAACACAUGCAAGUCGAGGGGUAUAGUUCUUCGGAAUUAGAGACCGGCGCACGGGUGCGUAACGCGUAUGCAAUCUACCUUUCACAGAGGGAUAGCCCAGAGAAAUUUGGAUUAAUACCUCAUAGUAUAGCAGUUUCGCAUGAAACCACUAUUAAAGUCACAACGGUGAAAGAUGAGCAUGCGUCCCAUUAGCUAGUUGGUAAGGUAACGGCUUACCAAGGCAACGAUGGGUAGGGGUCCUGAGAGGGAGAUCCCCCACACUGGUACUGAGACACGGACCAGACUCCUACGGGAGGCAGCAGUGAGGAAUAUGGACAAUGGGCGCAAGCCUGAUCCAGCCAUGCCGCGUGACAGGAUGACGGUCCUAUGGAUUGUAAACUGCUUUUAUACAGGAAGAAACUACUACUUCGUGAAGUAGCUUGACGGUACUGUAAGAAUAAGGAUCGGCUAAACUCCGUGCCAGCAGCC